Molecule: long non-coding RNA, 600 nt
Organism: Xiphophorus hellerii (green swordtail)
Lineage: Eukaryota; Metazoa; Chordata; Actinopteri; Cyprinodontiformes; Poeciliidae
Exons: 3
Source: RefSeq, a predicted model, not a curated record
CGCCACCACAGCACGUCCCUAUUUUUUUUCCUUUUGAUUGAAUAUCAUGGUACGUACAGCUGGAAACAACCAGCUUUCUGUCCUUCGCUUUGCUUCCUCCAGACGGUUUACAGGAAAUUACCCAAGCUUACCGUAAACAACCGCCUCCGCUGAGCUAAACGAGGCGGCUGUUAAUGUUAACGCGGCAUGAAACAGCGCCCCCAGAGGCGAAGCACUGCACUGCCUCAUUUUAACAGGAAAUGCAUAAACUCAGCCAUUUUGACCAUAGAAAUGUUGAUAUUACCAAUAAACAAACACAUUCAUAGAAAUUGAUUUUCCAUUCAAUGCAGUUUAUUUCUAUAGCACCAAUUCACAACACAUCAUACUGAUGCUCUUUCCAAAAGGAAUGGCUUCACUUCAAUCGUCCAGUCUUUCCAGUUCAUCCCAGUUAUCAGUCAGAGAAUCAAGUUCAGUUCAUUCAAAUUAGCUGGAAAAGUUUCUGGGGAAACCCAGCAGACUGCACUUUGCAGCAGUACCUCAGGCUGAGCAUGCAUGUGGCGACAGCGGAGAGCAACAACUCCCCUUAACAAGAAGAAACCUCCAGCAGAACCAGAACCAGAA